Molecule: transfer RNA, 73 nt
Organism: Ophiocordyceps sinensis CO18
Lineage: Eukaryota; Fungi; Ascomycota; Sordariomycetes; Hypocreales; Ophiocordycipitaceae
Rfam family: tRNA
About the family: Transfer RNA (tRNA) molecules are approximately 80 nucleotides in length. Their secondary structure includes four short double-helical elements and three loops (D, anti-codon, and T loops). Further hydrogen bonds mediate the characteristic L-shaped molecular structure. tRNAs have two regions of fundamental functional importance: the anti-codon, which is responsible for specific mRNA codon recognition, and the 3' end, to which the tRNAs corresponding amino acid is attached (by aminoacyl-tRNA synthetases). tRNAs cope with the degeneracy of the genetic code in two manners: having more than one tRNA (with a specific anti-codon) for a particular amino acid; and 'wobble' base-pairing, i.e. permitting non-standard base-pairing at the 3rd anti-codon position.
Source: Rfam
GGGGAUAUAGUUUAAUAUGGUAAAACCGUAAACUUGCACUUUACUAUUUUGAGUUCGAUGCUCAAUAUCUCCA